AUACGUAGGGUGCAAGCGUUAAUCGGAAUUACUGGGCGUAAAGCGUGCGCAGGCGGUUUUGUAAGACAGAGGGGAAAUCCCCGGGCUCAACCUGGGAACUGCCUUUGUGACUGCAAGGCUAGAGUGCGGCCGAGGGGGAUGGAAAUCCGGGUGUAGGAGUGAAAUGCGUAGAUAUGCGGAGGAACACCGGUGGCGAAGGCAAUCCCCUGGGCCUGUACUGACGCUCAUGCACGAAAGCGUGGGGAGCAAACAGGAUUAGAUACCCUGGUAGUCCACGCCCUAAACGAUGUCAACUGGUUGUUGGGUCUUCAUUGACUCAGUAACGAAGCUAACGCGUGAAGUUGACCGCCUGGGGAGUACGGCCGCAAGGUUUAAACUUAAAGGAAUUGACGGGG
RNAcentral lists this ribosomal RNA (395 nucleotides) under uncultured bacterium. Its description in RNAcentral is "partial 16S ribosomal RNA". It matches the Rfam family "Bacterial small subunit ribosomal RNA", at positions 523 to 918 of the family's 1533-position model. The record is from RNAcentral.